Long non-coding RNA from Fukomys damarensis (Damara mole-rat), 3311 nucleotides. The record is from Ensembl. NCBI's taxonomy places the organism in Eukaryota, Metazoa, Chordata, Mammalia, Rodentia, Bathyergidae.
AUGACCGUUGCAGAUCAAGGAGUUUGGCUUUUUUGGGUGAGUGGAAGCUGGACAGCAGCAGUUGCAAUUUGGAUGCAGGGGACCACAUUGAUGAGCUCUACAGGAGGCCAAGCGAUUACCCAUGCAGGCACACAGGCCUUAGUGAAAGGACAGAUGUGGAAAUGCAGAAGGACAAAGAGAGAAGGUGGUGAAACAACAGCGGUGAAAUAUCUGAGAUGGAGCACAGUGGGAAAAAGUGCCCACAGGAGCAGAGCACAGGAAGCUGCAGCCUGGGUCUGCCAGGAUGUGAAAGACGCCCCAUCCAGCUCUCGAAGCCUUGGGCCAUUUGCAUCUGUGGCACAAAGCACCACCAAAGAGCAAAGUGACAGUGCUGACCCAAGGGAUGGAAAGCCAUAAAUGCACAGCCAAUUAGACCCCACGUCUCCCCUCCCCAUCACCCUUACUGACCCUGCAGGAGGCUGGAGAGUUUUCCUGGAGAAAUUUGAUCUGAAAACCUCAGGGAAAAAAAGCAGACUAAAUCCAGAGAGGGGAAUUCAGGCAUAAAAGAUUGGGGUUGGAGAAACUGCCCUUGCACAGAAAUGAUGGUGAAAUGCAGUUCCUUCUCUUCACCUUUCUCAGGGUGAAUUGUAGUGGAUUGCUUCCUCUAGAAACCCACAAGCCUUAGAAGAGAUGUAGAAAUCAUGUGGUUGGGACAAUAUUGAUUUUGGUUCUGAAAAGUCAAAUGCUAGCAUAAAAAAUAAUUUUAAAUGUGGAAUUGAUUAAAUAUACAAUGUGGAGGUGCAUAACAGAAAAAACAACUUGCUCUCAAGAGGCAAUUGGUAGAGAUUUGAAAGUUGUAGACAUUUCUUAAGAGGACUCAAAGGAAAAUGAAAAGUAUGUAGGGAGUGUCUCCACCACCCUUAGGGAAUACAUACAUCAUCAAGAACAGAAUUCCAGAAGAAAUAUGAAUGUCAAGGACACUGCUUGUGUGGGCUUACAUUUUAUAUGAGGAGCAUGUUAUCAUAAAACAAAGAAAAGAUGAUCCUUAUCAUAAAAUGUCAUACAUCUUCACUGAACUGUGUUCUAUUAAAGGGUGGAAUGCAGAACUGUUAAGUGAUGAACUUGUAAAGUUGGCUGAGGAUAUCACCAAAAUGUGUUGAAAGUAAAGCCUAGUUUCUCCUUCCGGCUUAUAGGAAUUUUUGAGAAGAAAAAGAUACAUUAUGGAAAGCAUGGUUAAGCAAAGUAGAACCAGCAACUGAUGAUUUUGGAAGCAAUCUAUGUAUACAGAUUUCAAAGGUGGCUAAAAUUAAGAAAUCCACUGAUGGAAAAAUAUGUCCUGGAGGAACAACCAAGAAUGUGGCUAGAUAACAUUUAGCUAAAAAGAUUAGUUAGGUAUGUGCCUGACGAAGCCAAUGAAUCAUAUCAGCUGAAUCCAGACACAGAAAUGGAGUUACCGAGGAAGGACUCUUUUGUCUUAUUGUGCAAAUCUGAGAGACAUAUAUGGGAGGUCCACAAGGUUGUGUUUUUGUUUUUGUUCUUUGUGAUACUAGUGAUUGAACCCAGGGCCUUGGCACUGAACUACAACUCCAGCCCUUUUUAAAUUUGUUUCUUUUUAUUUUGAGACAAUGUCUCACGAAAGAGCUAGGUUGCCAAACUGGGCUUGAGUAUUCUCCUGCACUAGCCUCCCAGAAGCUGGGGUUACAAGUAUAUGCCAUCAGGCCUGGAUCCCACAAAAUUUUUGACUGUGUUACACUAGCAGAAAUGCUGCUAGGUUGGACCAAAACAGUCAGAGACUAAGGAAUGUGAAAGAAGACUAUCAGACUUCCAAGAUUCUAUAGGCAGCAAACUGCAGUAAUAGUCUGCAGUAAAACCCAGCGGGGACAAGGCUGUCCCACAGAAACAGAACUUCCAAUAGGUUCUUUCAGUGCUGGCUCCUCAUUACUAAUCAGUAGCUAACCAUCUUUAUAAGGGAAAUAUUUAAUAUAAAUGAAAGGCCAGAAUAAUCAGAUGAAAUAGAAACCUGAGGAAAUUGAAAUAAUAGCAAACCUUGAAACAAAUGAAUUACUUUCUGCCUCCACAUGCACACAAAAUAACACCAGUGGAAUUAAGAGCCUGAGAGAAUUAAUAGCCCAAGAGAACUAAAAGAUGGCAUUGCUUUCAUAAAGUAAUAACAGGAUGCUUGACAAAGCGAAACAAUCCAAGAAUAAAAAACAACACUUGAAACAGAAAAAUCCAAUAGCUAAGAAUAAAAUAUCAGUAGAUAUAUUGCAAAAUAAGGUUGAUUAAAUUCCCCAGAUGUCCACAGAGGAGAAAGAAAUAGUACAUGAGAAGCAUAGCACCAGUCUAUGGGGUACAGUACCUAAUCAACAAAAGGUAAGGAGGACCUAAGGAUGAGACCAAAUGGAUGGGGGAAACAGGAAAGGAGAAAUUAACAACAAAAUACAGUGCAAUUUCCCAGUAUAGAAAAAACAAGUGUCUACGACAGUAUGGGUUUAGUGUUGAAUGGGAAAAAGAAGCACGUACAAAACAUAUUAUUCAGAAAUCUCAGAGCAGCGAAGAUAAAAAGAAGAUCUUUAAUUCUCCCAAGGAGAAAGAUAUAUCACAUAUAGUGGGUCAAAACUCCCCUAAACAGUGAUCUUUUUGACAAUAGUGCUAGAAACCAGGAGACAAAAAAAAAAAUUGUUUGCAAUAUUUUGAAUGAGAAGCAUAAUUUUCUUUUGACAUUGCAGAAAUUAAAGACCCCAUUCUCUAAAAUAAAAAUAAUAUUUAUAAAAUUUUAUGUUUUCAGUUAAGUUUGAGUAAAUUCUGGGAAAGGAAUCUAAAAGUGUUGAAAUUAUAACUUUGAAUAGAGGUUGGCGGGGUAGGAGGGAAAUUUUAGGAAUAUUUGUCUUUUAGACACAGUCAUUACGAAUGGGCCUGCGUGAUUUUAUAACAUUAUAAAUUAAGAAAAUAAAUCCUUGCUUAGAUGCAACAUAUCUCACCUUACUGUAGACACAAGAGACCAUGCCCAGUAUGGCUUUUACAAGGAAUCUUCGGGGGCCAGGGAUUUAGCUCAGUGGUUCCACUGCCUGCCUCACAGGCACGAGGACCUGAAUUCAAGCCCCAGUACCAAAAACAAAACAAAAUAAAACAAAAAACAAUUAGGAAUCUUAGGAAACUAGACCUAAUAAAGUAUAUAGGCUCUUAAGGUAAAAGCAAGUGAGUGUUGUUAAAUUUUAUCUUUAAGUAGCUAAUUCUGUUUGUACAAUUAUCUGUAUGUGUAAUAUUUGGCAAGUUAAGUAACAUGCUCAUUGGAUUACUCAUAACUUUCAUGAAAUAAAGCUCUGUAGGCA